Molecule: unclassified non-coding RNA, 299 nt
Filed under: Hevea brasiliensis (rubber tree)
Lineage: Eukaryota; Viridiplantae; Streptophyta; Magnoliopsida; Malpighiales; Euphorbiaceae
Source: RNAcentral
GGGAUCCUGCUUGAAUUUGCGGUGUGCUGUGAUUGUGGGAGGAAUGGAUAUGAUAACCCAGACUAAGACUCUGAUGCAAAGACCUCAUGUGGUGAUAGCAACUCCCGGAAGGAUUAAGGUUCUCAUUGAACAGAAUCCUGAUAUUCCCCCAGUUUUCAGCAAAACUAAGUUCCUUGUCUUGGAUGAAGCAGAUAGAGUUCUAGACGUAGGCUUUGAAGAGGAGUUGAGAGCAAUCUUUCAGUGUUUGCCAAAGAAUCGACAAACUCUUCUGUUUUCUGCAACAAUGACUAGCAACCUGC